This is an RNA transcript of Zalophus californianus (California sea lion), 3150 nucleotides long. It is a transcript of the gene named coiled-coil domain containing 27, with no coding region annotated. NCBI's taxonomy places the organism in Eukaryota, Metazoa, Chordata, Mammalia, Carnivora, Otariidae. The record is from RefSeq and is a predicted model, not a curated record. The transcript is spliced from 14 exons.
GCGGAGCUUCCGAAGCUGGUCGUGUCCAGGGCUGUGCCCGGCGGCAGGUCCACACUCGAGCCCCUGCUCCCCUUGACACCUUGCUCCAGACAGAGAGGCCCACAGGGGCCGUCCAUCCAAGGCAUUCUCCAGUCCUUCCGCCCCGCCCCAAGGAUGUUGCCGGUUGGCGGAGCCAGCCUGCCAAAGAAGCACAGCGUGGUGCCCAACCUGAUGGAGAAGGGCCUGAUGCUCCUCCAGUGUGUGGCCGGCCGGAACAACCUGGUCCCAGAGUGGAAACUUCGCCGGAGACAGCGCUCCCUCAGCAAGUCGGCUCAGACCAUCAGCCGCUUCUACGGGAAGAAGGGUGAAUACAAGCAAGGCCCCGGCCCCGAGGACACCAGCUUCAUGGCCGAACUAGAGGAGCUGAGAAAGGCGUUUCUCAAGCGCCCUGGCUGCCCUCAGUUCAGCACGAAGGCCACGUCUAUGUCUCAUUAUGGCUCAUCCACCUCAGCCGAGGUGCCCGAGGAGUUGUGCACGGGCUUUGAUUCCUGGAAGGUGACCCAGGACCCGUCCUGCAGCCAUCGGGGCUCCGACACAAAGGUGGACGGGUGCCUCCUUCCCUUUAGUAAGAGUGCCUGUGAAUUCAACUACUUGCGGAAGAGGAGUGGAUCCCAGAUCAUAAGCCCGGUCCCCAGCAGCCCGGUCCUGGCGCAGAGCCACCCAAAGAAGCGGUUACCCUGGUACAUCUCUGUCAUCCACGAGAAGGAUCACUGCCUGGUCAUGCUGCGGGAGGAAGUGCAGCGGCUGUCCGCGAUGGAGGUGCCACCUCAGAAGGAAGAUGAGGAGGUCUUGGCCCUUCAGGAGGAGAGGGAGGCCUUGAAGAAAAUGCUGAAAUGCCUCCUUAAAAACAAGGGCCGGGAGACAUGGGUAUGCCAGUGCACGAAGGAGCCGGUGCCAAAGCCCAGCGGGAGGCUGAGCAUCCUGAAGACCUUCUUCCCAGACGAGGAGCUGCAGCACUGGAGGCAGCUUCAGGAGGAGUCUGCCGUGACCGGCAGAGGCAAGGACCUGGAAGCAGCUGGCGGCGAGGAAGAAGAGGCUGCAGACGCAGAGGCAGAGGAGAGGGCGGACGGCGAGGGGAAGGGCCCAGCAGGCAGGAAGGGGGCCGCACCCAAGGAGGGGGGUGAGGAGCAGGAGCAACUGGAGGAGGAGAAGGAGGAGGUGAUGGAGCUGGAGGAGGAGGAGCAGGCGCAGGAGGAGGAGGACCAGCGCAGGGGGAGCUCCCGCUCCCUGGAGGAGGCUUUUGAGCGGGAGCUGAUAGCGCAGCUGGAGGAGUACGAGCACGUGAUCCAGGAGUUGCAGACAGAGCUGGAGGUCACCAGGACCAGACACUCGCUCGCAACAGGAAUCCCAACUGCACAUGUUGAACACGAAGAACGAGACCCUGCAGAAGGAGCUCCAGGAGCGGAGGGACCAGUUACAAGCCAUGUCCAACAAGUUCUCCAACCUCAGGGAAGACAAGAAGCACGAAGAGAUGAUGGGCAUCAUCGAGAAGGACAACAUUCUUCUCCGCCAGGUGACCGCCAGGUGUGGUUAAACAGCCAGACCGCUGUUCUUGUUCAAGUGUUGGAGCUGCAGAGCAAACUCGAAAAGCAGGAGCACAUCAUCUCGGAGUUCGACGCCACGGUCAGCAAGCUGCAGGCCCAGGCGAGCCAGAACCAGAACCACCUGCAGAGAUGGAAGUGGCUGCAGGAGGAGAUGCUGAGCAAGAACGAAAUGAUCCAGCAGGCGGAGCAGCAGGCCCGCGUGGCCCUGGAGAGCGCCCAGUCCCGGCUCACAGGCAGACCAGCUGGCCUCUCCAAACACUUCCAGUUCCUAAAGCUUCGAAAACUUGAGAGACUGAGAAACAAGAUCAUCCAGGCCACCUUCAGCACCUCCGGGGUCAAGUCCUUUGCCACUGAGAUCUCUGACAAUGACAUUCUGGAAGCUUUGCAGGUUCUGUCCAGUUCAGCCUCUUUGGGGAUGUUUCUUGGCACCUCAGCGUGGCCUCACCUGGAAUCCUCGUCUGCGCAGCCAGGACCCCGGCGUGGCCCCCCUUCCCUGGCCUUGGUUCAGGCUGUCAUCCUGACGACCCCAAGCAGAGGCCUCACGGGGCAGGGUGGUGCAGGAGAAAUAGUGCAGGCUUUGGGGCUGGCAGGGGCAAGCCACCACCCCCGUGGGCCUUGGCUGACAAGCUGUGGGCUGGCUCUUGAGUUCACUGAGCAGUAGAGCCUCCCUCUGCACCUGGGAGAGAGCCUGUCUGCCUUCUGGGCAUGGUGGGGGGAGGGCUCUGGGAGAAGAGCCCUGACUGUCACGUGCUCUGUGCAGGGCCAUAUGGACUCUCACUAGGGGCCGCUUCUGUCCCCACGCCCCAAGCCUCCCAUGACAUGGCCCUUUGCCCCAGCAGGUGCCUAUGACCUUCCUGCACCCACAUUUCCCCGAGACCUGAUUUCCUUUCUCCUAUGUCGUGGGAGACAGUGCCCCUGUAGGGUGGCAACAGUCUGGGGAGGGGGAAGACCUGCAAGAGGACCCGGGGAGAGGUCUCUGCAGCCUGCAAAGGUCUCUGCAAUCUGGGUCCUGUUGUUUGGUGUGGGGGAGAGGGAGGAGGGAGGGAAGGAGAGAGGGAUGGGAGGAGUCAUCAGUACCCGCCAGUAGCCAGGAAAGAAGCCCUUUCCUCUGCUGCACGCAAAACAGUGAUGUGCCAAAGCAGCAGAGCUGAGGGAGGGGCUCCCAUCUCCCUGUGCGCAGGACAGAAGGGACUUGAGGGACAGACUCGAUGGCCUCUGAGGUCUCUUGGUCUGGGCCACUCGACAUCCUCAGAGGACAUAAGUGCAGUUAGUGCUGCUUCAGGGGAGAGGUGACGCCAGCCCGUGUCGGGCUGAGUUCUGUGGCUUCAUCGCCGGGGCGGGAUCAGCAGAGGUGGGGAGUGUUUCCAGCCCAGAAGUUAGCAGAUGCCACAGACCAGAGCCUUCUCCGCUGGAGAGCCGGCGGUCAGAGUAUCAUCUCUGAGAGAGACGACUACUACAAUCAGCUCAAACAGAAAGGCGCCAGAGUGCCUCCCCUGCAGCAGACAGAGGCCUCGUCCUCCCCGAACAAGUCCAAGAAGAUAACCUCCAAGUAGACCCAGCCGGGGCC